GGGGGACGGGUGAGUAACACGUGGGUAACCUGCCUCAAAGUGGGGGAAUAGCUUUCCGAAAGGGAGAUUAAUACCGCAUAAUAUACACAUUUAGCAUUAUAAGUGUAUCAAAGGAGAAAUCCGCUUUGAGAUGGGCCUGCGGCGCAUUAGCUAGUUGGUGGGGUAACGGCUCACCAAGGCCACGAUGCGUAGCCGACCUGAGAGGGUGAUCGGCCACACUGGGACUGAGACACGGCCCAGACUCCUACGGGAGGCAGCAGUAGGGAAUCUUCCACAAUGGGUGAAAACCUGAUGGAGCAAUGCCGCGUGAAUGAAGAAGGUCUUCGGAUCGUAAAGUUCUGUUAUUAGAGAAGAACAAGUCAAGGAGUAACUGUCUUGACUUUGACGGUACCUAACCAGAAAGUCACGGCUAACUACGUGCCAGCAGCCGCGGUAAUACGUAGGUGACAAGCGUUGUCCGGAAUUAUUGGGCGUAAAGGGAGCGCAGGCGGUUGGAAUAGUCUGAUGUGAAAGCCCACGGCUUAACCGUGGAAGGUCAUUGGAAACUGUCCAACUUGAAUACAGAAGAGGUAAGUGGAAUUCCAAGUGUAGCGGUGAAAUGCGUAGAUAUUUGGAGGAACACCAGUGGCGAAGGCGACUUACUGGUCUGUAAUUGACGCUGAGGCUCGAAAGCGUGGGUAGCAAACAGGAUUAGAUACCCUGGUAGUCCACGCCGUAAACGAUGAGUGCUAAGUGUUAGGGGGUUUCCGCCCCCUUAGUGCUGGAGUUAACGCAUUAAGCACUCCG
RNAcentral lists this ribosomal RNA (786 nucleotides) under uncultured bacterium. RNAcentral describes it as "bacterial SSU rRNA". It matches the Rfam family "Bacterial small subunit ribosomal RNA", at positions 97 to 871 of the family's 1533-position model. The record is from RNAcentral.